GCACUGCUGAGGAGUCCCACAAUAGGACGAAACAGCUUUCCAGUGC
Molecule: non-coding RNA, 46 nt
Organism: Schistosoma mattheei
Lineage: Eukaryota; Metazoa; Platyhelminthes; Trematoda; Strigeidida; Schistosomatidae
Source: Rfam